UACGUAGGGGCCAAGCGUUGUCCGGAUUUAUUGGGCGUAAAGAGCUCGUAGGCGGUUCGGCAAGUCAGCUGUGAAAUCUCCACGCUCAACGUGGAGGGGUCAGCUGAUACUGCUGUGACUCGAGUCCGGUAGGGGAGUGUGGAAUUCCCGGUGUAGCGGUGAAAUGCGCAGAUAUCGGGAGGAACACCAGUAGCGAAGGCGGCACUCUGGGCCGGUACUGACGCUGAGGAGCGAAGGCUAGGGGAGCGAACGGG
RNAcentral lists this ribosomal RNA (254 nucleotides) under uncultured bacterium. Its description in RNAcentral is "partial 16S ribosomal RNA". It matches the Rfam family "Bacterial small subunit ribosomal RNA", at positions 524 to 776 of the family's 1533-position model. The record is from RNAcentral.